This 2554-nucleotide long non-coding RNA is filed under the name Mus musculus (house mouse). Its description in RNAcentral is "predicted gene, 74511". The record is from RNAcentral. Lineage: Eukaryota; Metazoa; Chordata; Mammalia; Rodentia; Muridae.
GCCGCUGGCCCGGGGACCACAGAUUGGAAGCAGGCAGUCACUGGUCGUGGACAGGAAGACUCUCUCCGGCCAUCUCAGGUUGUACUUUCCCCAGCUGGCCCUAUGGCGGAGGCUAGGCCAGCUGAGCUGCAUGUCCAGACCUGCUCUGAAUCUGCGCUCCUGGCUGCUGACCAUCCUCCACUACCUCCUGCCCUUCCGUGUGCUCGGGCCCCACAGCCAGGUGGGAUGGAGGCCCCUGAGCAGGGUGUUCCUGUAUAAAACUGUGCCAACGAGUUUGCUGUCAUGUGCCUGUGGUCGCCUCAACAAAGUAGAACUUCCUUACUGGCUCUGGAGGCCAGUCUACAGCCUGUAUAUCUGGACCUUUGGGGUGAACAUGACUGAGGCUGCAGUGGAGGACCUGCACCACUACCGCAACCUCAGCGAGUUUUUCCGGCGUAAGCUGAAGCCUCAGGCACAGCCUGUCUGAGAUUUGUACUGUGUGGUAAUGCCUGGCCCUUGUCUCCAUUCUUCAUUAGGAAAUGAAACCCUUGUCUGCCUUUAAGCCAGGCUUAGCAGCACCGCAUGGCCGUGGCACUCCGGGAGGCUCCCUCCUGACCUGGACUGGAGCUCCCUGAGGACUUGGCAGAUGGUAGAGUUUGGGGAGCCACUGAAGGUGAGCACUACCCCCUCCUUACCUUCAAAACUCUGUCUCCUCCAGACCAGCCCAUCAGAUGGCAAGAUCCUCACCUUUGGGCAGGUGAAGAACUCUGAGGUGGAGCAGGUAAAGGGCGAAACCUACUCCUUGGAGUCCUUCCUGGGCCCUCGAACCAGUACAGAAGACCUGCCCUUCCCUCCAGCUUCUUCCAGUGACUCCUUCAGAAACCAGCUGGUCCCCCAAGAAGGGAAUGCGCUCUACCACUGUGUCGUCUACCUGGCCCCAGGAGACUACCACUGCUUCCACUCCCCCACUGACUGGACCGUCUCACAUCGGCGCCACUUCCCAGGUCUGCCCAGGGGUGGGCAUUAGAGGCCCUUGGCCUUUUGACUUGAGAGGACUGGGCUUGAGGCUGGUGUCGUCAAGGCCAGGAGAGGACUUCUUGAGGUGGCUGGCUAUAGGCGAGGGUAUCUGGGGUCCUGCUUAGAAUUUGGACCGCUUGACCUGUGAGUCCCUGUGGCUCUUCGGCCAUUCUGAUGUGAACAUGUCAGGGGCUGAGCAGAAAGUAGCAUAUUCUCUUGUCUCUUCAGGUUCCCUGAUGUCAGUGAACCCUGGCAUGGCCCGAUGGAUCAAAGAGCUCUUUUGUCACAAUGAGCAUGUAGUCCUAACUGGAGACUGGAAAAAUGGGUUCUUCUCGUUGACAGCAGUGGGAGCCACCAAUGUGGGCUCUAUCCAUAUCCACUUUAACUGAGUGAGCAAAGCCCACAGGCUAAACCUCUUGGGUCCAACCACUUCAUUUACUGUACAGCCUUACCUUUGGGCUUAUAAAUUUUGUAGUGCAGGAGGGAUGAUCUAGCUCUGACCAGGCUGGACUCUACAGACAUCCAUACCAGCCCAGCCUCCCUCUCCCUGUUGCCCAAUCUGUGGCCAUUCACCUGCCUGAACCAAUCCCACAUCUUAACACACGGCUUCUGCCAGGAUCCCUGAUCAGAAGCAAGGAUGGAGCCUGCAGGAGGGUAGAGUUGGCUUGGGUGAGAAAAUCUGGUACCCACUCUGCCUUUUUAGGUUUUAAUGGCUGCUGCUGGCACUAGCCUUUCAGCAUUUAUGUCUAACCCCUGCCCCUCCUUGUCAAAGUCACAGCUGAUACUGGGAGUGUUGAUUAGUUAGGCCUUUGUCUCUGCCACCUGGGCUGGGCAGAGUUGAGGACAGGCUCAACCUUCUUGUUCCUAGGACUUGCACACAAACAGCCCCAGGUACAGCAAGGUACUACAAUGACCUGAGCUUUGUAACAAGGAGGGCAUUCCCAUGCACAAGGGUGAGCCCCUGGGCGAGUUCAACCUGAGCUCCACAUCAUGCUCAUCUUCGAGGCACCCAAGGACUUCAACUUGAGGCUGAAGGCAGAACAGAAGAUCUGCUUUGCAGGAGCACUGGGCUCCCUCUAGUCCUCUCGGUUGUGGCUGCCAAAGGAUCUUUCCACACAGGAGCAUGAGGGUCUUUAGCGGAGCCCCAGGAUGUCUAGGUGAGGGGCACUGUGGGGCUGACCUUAUAAGACCUGAAUGAUGUGUUCCUGCCUGUCCAUGGGUGCAGAGGAGAGGUUCUGGGUCUCUCAGGACCUAGGCCCCUUUUCUGAGUAUGGGUGGGUGUGAUUUGACCCCAAAGUCACUUUAAGGGGUGUUUUAAAUUUUUGUACAAGCCAGAGCCUCCCACCCCUAACUCCUGGCUGUGUACUACCACACCCUCUAGCUGCGCCCCGACCCGUCACAGGGCUCUCUCACUGUGCACAGGGUGACGUGCCUGCUGGGCAGAGACUGUGGAUCCACUGUCUUCCUAGAGCAGGCCACAUGGCCUUCAUAACUGCUUUCUGCUCCCAAAUUUCACCUAUCUGCAUGCUGGAAAAGUAAAAUCAUUUAUAUAUUGCUG